This 531-nucleotide ribosomal RNA is filed under the name uncultured soil bacterium. RNAcentral's name for it is "bacterial SSU rRNA". It matches the Rfam family "Bacterial small subunit ribosomal RNA", at positions 57 to 599 of the family's 1533-position model. The record is from RNAcentral.
GCAAGUCACGGGGGCCCGCAAGGGCAACCGGCGAACGGGUGCGUAACACGUGAGCAACAUUCCGAUUUCUGGGGGAUAGCCGGCCCAACGGCCGGGUAAUACCGCAUACGCUCACCGAGAGGAGUCUCUUGGUGAGGAAACCUCCGGGGGAAAUCGAGUGGCUCGCGGCCUAUCAGCUAGUUGGCGGGGUAAUGGCCCACCAAGGCUAUGACGGGUAGCUGGUCUGAGAGGAUGGCCAGCCACAUUGGGACUGAGAAACGGCCCAGACUCCUACGGGAGGCAGCAGUGGGGAAUCUUGCGCAAUGGUCGAAAGACUGACGCAGCGACGCCGCGUGAGGGAGGAAGCUCUUCGGGGUGUAAACCUCUGUUGCCCGGGACGAAUGCUGGAAUUCAUUCCAGUUGACGGUACCGGGUGAGGAAGCGCCGGCUAACUCUGUGCCAGCAGCCGCGGUAAUACAGAGGGCGCGAGCGUUGUCCGGAAUCACUGGGCGUAAAGGGCGCGUAGGUGGCCACUAUAAGGCUGCGGUGAAA